Molecule: long non-coding RNA, 1149 nt
Filed under: Oryzias javanicus (javanese ricefish)
Lineage: Eukaryota; Metazoa; Chordata; Actinopteri; Beloniformes; Adrianichthyidae
Description: lncRNA (ENSOJAG00000021008.1)
Source: RNAcentral
UUCAAUCCAUCUACUUUGCUCAGCGGCAAGCUUCUACUUCCCAUAAUUAAACAGACACUUGGCCAAACAGAUGAAAGGGGGAAGAUGGGUAAAGCUGGAGCGCCUGUGCAGCUGUGUGGGCGAUAUCGCCACUGGUGUUGGCAUCUUCAACACAGGGAAUCUGCCACCAUCCAUUCCAAGCAGCAGGUAAUGGAUUGAGCUCAGGACCUGAUCUGGCUAUGGAUGAGCUAGCCUGAAGGUGUGUGAGUGGGUGUUCAAAUAGAUUUGGAGAAGCUCGCCUAGAAUAUCACACUGUUUUUUUUUUUUUUUUCUUCUUCAGGUUGUUAGGUUUGUUGUCAGCGCCAAGCCUCUACCCAACCUCAAUUCUUCCUUCAAAGACAAAAACAUCACAGCGGGGUGCUAAGAUCUCACUGUCAGGCUGGUUUAGGGACAUUUUGAUGUGAUAUUGGAGUCUUUAAUCCCACCAGCGAUGGAAAAUUUACAGCUCUACAUUUAAGAGCCAUUUUCAUUUGAUGGAAAAAAAAAAAAAAAAAUUAAAUGUUCUGAUUAAAAAAACAUUGUUGUCAGUUAUAAAUCUGCCAUGGUGAUUAAAUUGUAGAACUAAAGGGCUUUUUAGCCAAAAACAACAAAAAACAUGUAAACUGUUAUCUGUCUUUUUUUUUUGUAUUUUUCUCAUUUAAGUUCCAAAAGUUAGAAAGUUAAAUGGAAUAUAGUAAAGAUAAAACCUGCAGACCCCAAACAGGUCCAUGCAACUAAGACAGGGGUCUGCAACCUGCGGCUCCAGAGCCACAUGUGGCUCUUUUAUCUCUCCGUAGUGGCUCUCUGGCUGAAAAAAAUAAAAUAAUAGUAAAUUAAAAAAAAAAAAAAAAUGGAGAUUUGCUAUUAUUUUAGCAACAUACUAACGUUUUUGGCUAAUUUGUUUUCUAGUGGGGUUUUUUAGGCUAAGUUAGUUUACUGAGGAAUUCUAUGCUAAUUUAGAGUUUAGCUAAUUUUUAGUUAAAUGCUGAUGUUUUUAGCUAAUUUUUAUCUACUGAAUUUUUUUUUAUAAUUUUAAAUUUAGCUUCUAUUUUAGCAAAAUUCUAACAUUUUUGACUAAGUUGGUUUACUGAGGAAUUUGAGGCUAUUUUGGAGUUCAGCAAGGAGUUAAGC